GUGUGUGUGUGUGUGUGUGUGUGUGUGUGUGUGUGUGUGUGUGUGUGUGUGUGUGUGUGUGUGUGUGUGUGUGAGGGUGGUGAGUGCCACGGGCGGAUGGCGUGAGAACAAGGGUGCAUGUGCGCGGGCACGCUCGCGUGGCCGUGGAGUGUGGGUGUGGGCGCACACCAGCCCUCGUGGCGCCGGAGGUGAUGGGUGUGCGCACGCGUGCACUCCUUGCGGUGGCGGGAGGGGCCCUGACUGUGUGUGUAGGUGUAUAUAUCUGCAUUUGGGUAUAUGACGUGAGUUCAGAGGUCAGAGGCAUUGGAUCCCCUGGAGCUGGAAUUAUAGACUCUUCUCAGACACCUGACAUGGAUGCUGGGAACCUAACUCGGGUCCUCCGGAAGAGCAGCAAGUGGUCUUAAUUGCUGGGCCAUCUCUCCAGCCACAAUGGUGAAAGGUUUUUAGAACAGUUCAACUGUAUUUCCUAGGCAAACCAGAAGCAUCAUUAUCACCUGGUAGUGGUGGUGCACACCUUUAAUCCCAGCAUUCAGGAGGCAGAGGCAGCCAGAUCUCUGUGAAUUCGAGGCUAGCCUGGUCUACAGAGCAAGUUCCAGGACAACCAAGGCUACACAGAGAAACCCUUUUUCAAAAAUAAAGUCAGAUCACUUCAAAGAACUCCCUGUACCAGGCCCAUGCGUCCCUGUGACACAGAGUGACACACCAACCCGCUCUGUUCUGACCUUUCUUCUACCCUUACCUGAAUCCUGUGGAAGAAGAUAGGGAAGCACAAAGGGGGAAAGAAACAACCCCAAAUAUGGCUCUAACUCGUGCAACUACUACCUGAGGUAGGUUGAGUUCUCGAAAUAUCUAGAAAGGCACACCCACUACAUGCCCAUUUCCUCCUCAGGAACUUUGAAGCCUGCAUCAUCCAGGACAAAGUGGCAUGGCACCAGUAUUUGCUUGCCAAGGAGAAAGUCAGAAGGUCCUGGAAAAGAAAGAGACUUUGGAGAAAAAGAAGAAAGAAAACCAUGGGAGAGAGAGAAGUGCCAAAUAAAGGGCAGGCUCUGAAUGGAAGUGGACAAGAUGAAGAUGACAAGCCGAGAAUCCAGGAGUCUAAAUAUUCUUCACAGAGGACCCCCAGCAAUGACAGAAAGUCGUUCUGGCCUCGGGCCCAUGGAUGAACGAUGAGAAAUGGCAGAGAGAGGUUUGCUGGGUCGAUUUUACAGAAGAAGAACCAGAGGCAAGCAAGGUAUCUCAGAAGGAAUUGAAAAAUGAGAGGGCCCAUGUAGGUUGACACCUUCGUAUAGAGGACCUUGGCCGACUUCACCUCUCUAGGCACUGUCCUAUGUAUAUGCCUGAAGCUGUCCUCUCAUUCUCUGUAAUCAUUAUCGGUACUCAUGGAGAAUCGGAGUUCCAAACUGGCAUAUAUACGGGCAUCUUCAAUGUCUUAAUUCUGGGAGAGGAAGGUAAAGCGACUUUAGGGACUGCAAGAAGAAAUUUGGACAGAGGAUGCACCCUUCAGGAUGCUUGAAUCUGAAGAUGUGCAGCUGAUGGAUGCGGAGGACUGACUGUAUGGAGAUUAGGAUAUGGGGGACCAGUGCGGUGGAGGCGAAGUGACUUCUCCAGGAGCCUAUAGCUGGUGAAUGCUUACAGAUCAGAUAUAAGCACCCAGCUACUGUUCUAGUGUCAUGCUUGUCUGCCUGUUGCCAUGCUCCCCACCAUGAUGAUCAUGGAAUCACCCUCUGAAACUGUAAGCAAGCCUCCAAUGAAAUGCUUUGGAGAUGGUGUCUCUUCACAGUAAUAGAAAGAAACAAGCUCGGAAAUGACAGCUGAAUACCCAGGACUUAUAAAGAGGACUUUUGGCCCCUAACGACUCCUCAAGUAUAUGUGGAGGUCUAAGACCACCAGAGCCUGGCUUAUGGGAACACCAACUGGUCAGCUCUAGUGUAUUGCCUAGGAGAGAUGCAGAGUCUACUCUCUCGUGUGCUGCAGCUGUGAGGAGCAUGCACUUGUUGGAAUUUGCAAUCCCACCUUCCUGUAUACAGACAGCUGAGAGCACCUGGAAGGGGAAGCUCUGAGGAUCAAGGGCUGUGGCCUCUGAUGAGUACCCGGCAUUUCUGAGGAUUCACCAGGGCCCAGCACUGGCUGCGUUAGACAUGUCUUCAGGAAUCUUUGCGAUAGGUGCUACUGUGUCCUUCUUACAGAAGAGGAGACUGAGGCUUUGGCAAAGUAAAUGGCUUGUCACCUUCCCACACUCAGAGGACCCAGAACUGGACUGUGAUCCUCAUGUCGUAGCCUCAUGUCAUAUCCUCAUGUCGUAUCCAUAGCACUCACGAUCAGAAGCCCUUUCCAAGUCUGUGCUGUCUGCUAUGGAAGGAGAGGACUUGGGCGAAGGGAGGCCAGCCAUGGUCCUGGAUUCAGACAGCCAGUUAAUGCUAGAGCUGGAGUCAGCCAUUAAGUCCCCUUCCCCUCUACCGCUCCUCUCCAUCUCAUGACCCCAGUGUCUCUAACUACACUAGUGAUAGCUUGUCCUGUGUCUCCAGCCACAUAGAAUUGGCACCCAAUUUAGACAGGGCACUGAGGUCUCUUAAGUCCUAGUGCUAGAUCAACUGUGAGUGCUCAGGACUCAGAAGACUCUGGGCCUGAGAGUCCAUGGUGAGAGCACGCCUUCUAGGUUGGACCAAAGUAGAAGGAUAUCAGCCCUCACCACCACCAUGGUAACCCCACAGUCCCUCUGUGGCUGCCAUCUUCCAGGGGUUCCUUGCAGCCUUCCUUUCGUGCUGAGGUUACAGCUGCCAGCCCUGCUGCCAUCUGCCUUCCUCUUAGGCUUCCCCUCUGGCUAACUGCAGGGGCUGGAUGGAGUUGGUCACCCCUACCCCGGGCUUUUAAUGAGAGGUAUUUGGUUAUGCCCAGGGAGCAAAAAUGAAUAAUUCAGCAAAGGAAGCCCAGGAAUGGUAGUGUUUCAGAGCAGAUUCCCUUGACAGGGGGAGAAGCAGAGAACCACUGCAUCUUCUGGGGGUGGGGUGACAGCAGCAGCAGGAGGAGGGAGCAGGAGGAGGGAGCAGGAGGAGGGAGCAGGAGGAGGGAGCAGGAGGAGGGCUACACAGGAAUCACUAGCAGAAAUCGAAGAGAUCCUUGUCAAAAUCUCUUUGCCAUUUUGGAGGAGGAGGAAUCUGGUGAAAAGGAGUGGAAUGUAGUACAUACGGAGCUGAGAUGCUGUUUAUUAAGAAAGGAACGUGGAUUUGUGGUGAGCCAGAGAAAAACCAGAAAUGAGAGAUAAGAAGGAGGAGCAGGAAUGCAUCCAGAGCUCAACAUUGGAGUUUACCGAGAAUUUCCAGCUGACAAUGGAACCGCUGAUCCCUGACCAGAUGGAAGGCCACUUGAUGUCUAGCUGAACCCUUCAAAGUCCUUUCUUUUUGCCCGGUUAUCAUGAAGAGAGGACGACCACUCGGAACCCCAGAAAGUCAGUUUCUCCAAGUACAGUUUUCGGGGAAAGAUCCAGUCCCCCUAAAGCCUCCACCAGCCAUCUCUCUGUUGUCCCUUUUAUGAAAACUGGAGGUUGAACGGCUUCUAACACCAAGAUAGCCCUGGGAAAGCUGCUUCUGUGUCCCCUAUUACUCAAAUGGAAAAGGCUAAAAUGUGUUCCUUAGAGUUGGGUCCCCAUGAAGGCUGCUGGUGCCCUCUGGAGGAAGUUUUGGGCAUUGCAGAAGCACGGCGGGAAUGGAGAACAUUUUCUUCAGCUCACUUAUGAGACCCAGUGAAAACAGAGUCACAGAAAUAGGGCCGUGAAUAGAAGGAAGAGCCUGCAACUGUACUUCUAUGGCAGGCGGAGUCUUUGUCUGGAGGGCAUGCCUGGGAAGGCACCGGCUGAACGCCCUCGACAGUCAGUCAUGGCCGCAGUCUGCUCCGCUCUGAGAAGCCACUACUUCACUGUUCUGCAAGAG
This is a long non-coding RNA of Peromyscus californicus insignis, 3926 nucleotides long. RefSeq lists it as uncharacterized. The transcript is spliced from 18 exons. Lineage: Eukaryota; Metazoa; Chordata; Mammalia; Rodentia; Cricetidae. The record is from RefSeq and is a predicted model, not a curated record.